This is an RNA transcript of Strigops habroptila (Kakapo), 1700 nucleotides long. It is a transcript of the gene named small nuclear ribonucleoprotein U11/U12 subunit 48, with no coding region annotated. Lineage: Eukaryota; Metazoa; Chordata; Aves; Psittaciformes; Psittacidae. The record is from RefSeq and is a predicted model, not a curated record. The transcript has 7 exons.
GAGCGCCCUCAGUAAGCAUGGCGCCGGCUCCGCCCCGUUCCCGCCUCCCGCGGUGACGGGCCCCGCGCGCCGCUCCGCGAUGGCGGCUCCCGGCGCGGUGUGGCUCGGAGACACGGUGGAGCUGGUGCCGUGCCCCUACGACGUCCAUCACCGCGUUCCCCCGGCGUCGCUGGAGAGGCACGCCGCGUCCUGCCGGCUCCGCAAGAUGGGCUACUCCGCCGAGGAGGAGAUAAAGAUCUACAGUUUCACAUUGUUAAACAAGCUAGAGCUCAAAGUGCCAAAGAAGGUGCAGGCUACAGCGAAGGAUCUUACUCAUUACUACCUGUAGAAGUUCCCCAAAAUCACAAGCGUUUCACCUGUGACCUGACUCAAGCUGAUCGCCUUGCUCUUUAUGAUUAUGUUGUUGAGGAAACAAAGAAACAGAGGUCUAGAUCCCAAAUAACGGAAAAUGACAGUGACCUCUUUGUGGAUUUAGCAGCAAAAAUCACCCAAGAUGAUAGUCAGAAAGGUCCCAAGUCCCAUCUUGAAAUUCUGGCUGAAAUGCGAGAUUACAAAAGGCGGCGGCAGUCAUACAGGGCUAAGAACGUUCAUAUAACAAAGAAGUCUUACACUGAGGUGAUUCGGGAUGUGAUUGGUGUGCAUAUGGAAGAACUCAGCAAUCAUUGGCAGGAGGAGAAUAGGCUGGAUAAUGCAGAGAUGUCUGAAGGAGGGAAGUCAAAAUCUUCAGGAAGGAAGGAAGACAGGCGGUCAGCUUCGGUGGACUCCCGGCAGUCCGGAGGAAGCUCUAAGGAUACUGAAUGCACCAGGCAUAGGAGAGAGAGCAGCAGGAGUCCAAGUAAACGAAGGAGGAGUCGCGAAAGAGGCAAAGACAGAGAUUCUCGGAGAAAAAGAGAGAGGUGGGCAGGCCUGGUGACAGUUGAAGUCUGCCUCUGAAUCAGGCCGCUGUAGCCAUUGUCUGUAAGAAAUUAGUGCAGAGAAUUAGAAUAUCUCUUUCAGUUAAAAAGCUAGGCUCAACUCUUACACUGUAUAACAAGCCAGUGGCAUGAGACUACUCAUAUUAAACAGAACGUGCUGAGAUCAUAAACUGUGAUCCAGAAUUUACCCUCACAUCUGAAAGGUGACACUUUGAGCUGCAUGCUGCAGGAUUAGCACAGUACUGUUGCAGGCUAUUUUACUCCUUGACCAACAUAUGCACAGGGGGGCAUGCUGUCUGUUUAACCCAUGACGUAUGCUUGUCAUGUCUAAUGCUGAUCUCUGCUCUAGUUUGCACUGGGACUUGACUCAGUCAGUAAGAUUAUUUGUUUUCACCAAUACAUAUAUACACACAAUCACUUGAAUAGCUUUUCAAAGAUAGGUGCUUUAAAACAGUGUUGCUUUUUUUAAGUAGUUCAGGGUAUAUUUUUAGGCAAAAGAAAACAAAUCUAGGCCACACUUCUAAUGCCAUCAACAAGGGCAUGUUUGCACCUGCAAGUCCAUAGGUGUGUGAGACCUGUGUGUGAGCAAAGACUUAAGCUGUUGGACAGCAGAAAUGCUGCAUUGUCCCUGGUGUGUGUGUAAGAAAUGCUGUAGGUAACUGCAGGGGAGGGGAUGAUUGCUUAUCUCAAAACUGGCUUCAUUUCCCAGUGACGCCAUUCAUCCUAAACUAAGUGCCACUAUGGCACUGCAUGACAAGGCUUUGAUUAAACAGCAUGGGAAAUAAA